UUAUUUCAGUUGUCUUAUCAGAUUGCCAUCCAUUGUACAUGUAAUUUUGGACCUUAAAACGGUACCCGAAUUUAAGGCUCCAUAAUAGUGAAAUCGUGGUUGUAGGUGCUCGGGCUUACUUAGAUGGCUUUCAUACCCACAAGAAGUCCGACCCUUGUUGAUGAGGACAUGACAUGUGUGGACUCAAACAAGACUAAAGGGACGUGGGGAUCAAGCAAGGCUAGAACUAAAAGGUUCAAACAAGAUCUCAAUGGAUUGAUCCAAGAUGGUUGGGCUGAAACUAACACAAGAAAACUCAAAGAGAAGGAUAAGACACAAAUUUGGGUCAAUUUAAUGGCAAAAAACACUUUUACCCCACUGUGGUUGUAGUGUUUUAAGCAAUUAGCCACUGUGCUUUUAAAAUAUUCAAUUAGCCCACUGUACUUUUUAAAAAUGUUCAAUCAGACCAUUCCGUCCAAUUUCUUGGACGGACGUUAAAAAAUCAACUUGGAUUGCUUACGUGGCUUUUUGAAAAAAAAUAAAAAAUUACGUGGCAUAUGG
Molecule: long non-coding RNA, 540 nt
Filed under: Panax ginseng (ginseng)
Lineage: Eukaryota; Viridiplantae; Streptophyta; Magnoliopsida; Apiales; Araliaceae
Description: long non-coding RNA (PGIN_LNC008974)
Source: RNAcentral